GCGUGCCUAAUACAUGCAAGUCGAGCGAAGUUUUAAAAGCUUGCUUUUGAAACUUAGCGGCGGACGGGUGAGUAACACGUGGGCAACCUGCCUGUAAGACUGGGAUAACUUCGGGAAACCGGAGCUAAUACCGGAUAAUACUUUUCUUCUCAUGAGGAAAAGUUGAAAGAUGGCUUCGGCUAUCACUUACAGAUGGGCCCGCGGCGCAUUAGCUAGUUGGUGAGGUAACGGCUCACCAAGGCGACGAUGCGUAGCCGACCUGAGAGGGUGAUCGGCCACACUGGGACUGAGACACGGCCCAGACUCCUACGGGAGGCAGCAGUAGGGAAUCUUCCGCAAUGGACGAAAGUCUGACGGAGCAACGCCGCGUGAGUGAUGAAGGUUUUCGGAUCGUAAAACUCUGUUGUUAGGGAAGAACAAGUACCGUUCGAAUAGGGCGUAC
Molecule: ribosomal RNA, 442 nt
Filed under: Bacillus sp. K7-249
Lineage: Bacteria; Bacillati; Bacillota; Bacilli; Caryophanales; Bacillaceae
Description: bacterial SSU rRNA
Rfam family: Bacterial small subunit ribosomal RNA
Source: RNAcentral